UCGCCGGAGGCACCAACCCCCCUUCCCACACCUGCCCCCGGUGUGGCCAACCCCCCGGAGGGCCAACCCCCCUUCCCACACCUGCUGACUCCCCUUGUAGCUCGUUUCCACAGUUUACAGCCCCCUAAAUCUGAUUCCAACUACCUUCAGGAAGUUAACCAGGGAAGCUACCUGUCAAGGUCGUAUGUUACAGUGAGAUAACAUCUACCAGUGGACCUUGAUAGUUGGAGAUUGAGUGAGCAAAACUCUGGAGUCAGACCAGUCUGGGUUCAUACAGUUGGCUCUGUAACUCAUUAGCCGUGUGACCUUGGCGGGCUUAUCAGGCCUCGAGGGACAGACGGAACCGCCCAAAUACCAAUUUAUUUGUAACAGGGAACAAAAGUAGAAGGUGUAAGAAGCAGAGGCCUCCCCUGCGGCUGACCCAGGACGACAGCCCCGGGGUUGGCAAAGGUGGCCAGCGGAGCAGAAACCUAACAGAUCAUCAGAAGAGCCAGGCGCCAGGCAGGAGAGAAGUCCGGAGCAGACGUUACCAGGAGAACCGUGCCCGGCCUCCCUCUACCAGUGUGACCUACGGGGAGGGAGUCAUUGUCACCUGUCCUGUGUUUGCGCCGAUUUGCAUGCUAACGACGGAGAGCUGUUGCAGACCGGUUGGCUGGAUAAUGAACUUGGUCUGGGCGUGUCGUCUCACGGUAACCGAUUCCACAUACGAAUGCGGGUGGGGGGGUUACAGUCGCUGCGGGAGAUGACGCAGUCACUGAGCUCCUCACGCACUUGGAGAGAAGGAGGAUGGAGCAGGGCGCUGAGCACGGAGUACCUUUUCCUACUCAUGUCCCUCUUGCUUCCCAGGAGCUGUUUACUUAAGAGUGGGGCUUUCCUCCACAAUGGAUGUUUCUGGGUAUUUACCUACUUAGCAAGAGAGGAGAGAGGAGAGAGAGAGAAAGAAAGAGAGACAAGACAGAAGCACGACAGGCUAGGUCGGUCUGUCUCCAAGCGGACUACGGAAGCGUCCCGGCCUCUAGCAGCUGGCCACAUGCUACCCGGACAAAUGCAAAAAGGAUUAAAGGGAGAAUGUUGCAAAUCUAUCUGUGUGCAGACGAUACCAAAGCGAGCCUCGUGUGACGGCGGGGAGGGAAACCCCAAGGAAAAAAGCUCGCUGCCUUGAGGGGCAGGGAAGGCUGGACAGCGCGGGGCUCCGUGCUGGGUGCCGUGUAUGGAGACAGGCCAGCAAGGCAGGCCUGCCGGUGGGGCCCGGGGCCCGAAAGGGCACUGUUGUAGACAGCGGGGGCAUUUCAGAUGCAUUUUUUUACCCUGUUUGAGGUGGAGUGAACGAGUGAACCGCCCCUGGCAUUUACCGUAGGAAAUCUUCAGUCAGGGACCUAUUGUGUACUGAGUGCGUGUGGGUAUUGGAGUGCUGAUGCCUCGUGUAGAAAAGAGGCUGGUUUCUCGUUUGGCUUGAUAUCGGGAAAAUCAGGAACAUUCUACU
This is a long non-coding RNA of Prionailurus viverrinus (fishing cat), 1483 nucleotides long. RefSeq lists it as uncharacterized. The record is from RefSeq and is a predicted model, not a curated record. The transcript has 8 exons. Lineage: Eukaryota; Metazoa; Chordata; Mammalia; Carnivora; Felidae.